ACGAUUUGCCCAGCUUUCUAAGGAGGCGGAACUGGACAGAGCUCCUGGACCAGGCAAAUAGGAGCAAAGUUUUCGCGCGUGGGGCUAGAGAACGGCUUCGUGGCUAAGAAGAGUAUGCACUGCUCUUCUAGGGGACUUGAGUUUUAUUUCCAGCAACAACAUCAAGCUUCUCCCUGCUGUCUAGAACUCCUUUCUGAAACUUCUUAACUCACAGGUACAUGUACAGGACAUGAACACUAUUAAAAUU
RNAcentral lists this long non-coding RNA (247 nucleotides) under Mus pahari (shrew mouse). Its description in RNAcentral is "lncRNA (MGP_PahariEiJ_G0003838.1)". Lineage: Eukaryota; Metazoa; Chordata; Mammalia; Rodentia; Muridae. The record is from RNAcentral.